This 254-nucleotide ribosomal RNA is filed under the name uncultured prokaryote. RNAcentral describes it as "partial 16S ribosomal RNA". It matches the Rfam family "Bacterial small subunit ribosomal RNA", at positions 524 to 777 of the family's 1533-position model. The record is from RNAcentral.
UACGGAGAAUGCAAGCGUUAUCCGGAUUCAUUGGGUUUAAAGGGUGCGUAGGCGGACUAUUAAGUCAGUGGUGAAAGCCUGCAGCUUAACUGCAGAACUGCCAUUGGUACUGAUAGUCUUGAGUUUGGUUAAGGUAGGCGGAAUGUGUAAUGUAGCGGUGAAAUGCUUAGAUAUUACACAGAACACCAAUUGCGUAGGCAGCUUACUGAGCCGACACUGACGCUGAGGCACGAAAGUGUGGGGAUCAAACAGGA